GAUGAACGCUAGCGAUAGGCCUAACACAUGCAAGUCGAGGGGCAUCACAUGAAGUAGCAAUACGGAUGGUGGCGACCGGCGCACGGGUGAGUAACACGUAUGCAACCUGCCUUCAACAAGGGGAUAACCCGUUGAAAGACGGACUAAUACCCUAUAACACAGGGGUCCCGCAUGGGAAUAUUUGUUAAAGGACAACCGGUUGAAGAUGGGCAUGCGUUCCAUUAGCUAGUUGGCGGGGUAACGGCCCACCAAGGCAACGAUGGAUAGGGGAACUGAGAGGUUUAUCCCCCACACUGGUACUGAGACACGGACCAGACUCCUACGGGAGGCAGCAGUGAGGAAUAUUGGUCAAUGGACGCAAGUCUGAACCAGCCACGUCGCGUGAAGGAAGACGGCCCUA
RNAcentral lists this ribosomal RNA (400 nucleotides) under uncultured bacterium. Its description in RNAcentral is "bacterial SSU rRNA". It matches the Rfam family "Bacterial small subunit ribosomal RNA", at positions 28 to 419 of the family's 1533-position model. The record is from RNAcentral.